GGUCUGUCUUUCUAACCGACCAACAGAGGCAGGCUGGGUGCCUGGGCCGGCUUCCACCUGCCCGAGGUGCUUCCCGGCCCGCUGGGCAAGGACGGGGGCGCUCGGGCAGGGUCUGAGGGAGACCUGGGAUGGGCGGGGACUGUAAGGGCAACAGGUGACAAGCCGCGCCCCGAGCGAAGCUCUCGCCUCAGGGAUCGUGAGCGACCCAGGUGCCCCCAGAGUCCAGCCGGUCUUCCGCGGCACUUACGCGCUCGUGGGUCCACCGCCGGGCAGAACCGAAACUUUCUGGGGCCAAGCGGAAGAGGACGGGAACGCGGUGCUGACGGCCAUGACGCGCACACCAAGAGGGUGGCGGGGGCGGACUACAACUCCCGGCGUGCUCCCCGGGGCUGAGGCCUGCAACUCCCAUCGGACUCCCGGGGCUCCGACUACAACUCCCGGCGACUCCGCAGGGCGGGGUUUAAGUGCUCCCACCGCCCAGUCCCCGGACCGACUGUCCCACCCGCGACCCAUGCUGGCCCCAGGUUAACGCCUGCAACCCCGGAGGGCCACAAAUCAAAGGUCUGGCAUCUUGACAACAACGCUGUUCUUGUGUGGCUAAGGAGCACUCCAAAGGUAGCUAGUUCGAGUUGAAUCGUGCACGUGCUGUGGAUAAACAUGAUGAGAUGGGAGCAAGCUUAAGGGUACCAGAUGGAUAAUCACAUAUUCAUACCAUGGGACAUGCCCCUCGGAUGCAUCCUCAAGAAGGGAGAAAAGUUUGAACCCCAAACCCUAAAAAGGAAAAGGCUAAUAUUUUUCUGUAACACAGCUUGGGUUGAAUAAAAUCUCCAGGACCAGUAAUGUUGGCCAGAAAACAGAAGCAUAAAUUUUAAUACAAUCCAUCAACUAGAUUUGUUUUGCUGUCAACAGGGAAAAUGAACAGAAAUCCUUUAUGUACAGGCCUUCGUGGCCCUAAGAAACAACCAUGGCCUUUGUCAGGCUUGUAAAAUGGAUCCAGUGAUGAUAGCGGCCAUUGUCAGGCAGCUGCCACCAGUUGGUUUGGGAGGCCUCUUAUUGGGUUUACCCAGGGCUCAAGCCCCAGAGGAACCAAGGGCAGAGCUUGGGUCAAACCCCACUGCCCCUUCUACCCCUUAAUAUCCAAGUCUUCCAGCCUUGGAUCCUUGCUCUUUCUAGCCAGGGCCACCCUCUGGACACCACCCCCUUAAGUUAUGCCCCUUUCAAGAGGUUAGCAGCCCCAGUGGACCCA
Molecule: long non-coding RNA, 1246 nt
Filed under: Homo sapiens (human)
Lineage: Eukaryota; Metazoa; Chordata; Mammalia; Primates; Hominidae
Description: HSALNT0053928
Source: RNAcentral